CGACAUGAUAGCGGGUGAGGCAUGGCUCAGAGGAGUGAAAAGACUAGGAAACAGGAAGGGCAGAAGCAACACAAAAGCACCAGCCAUGGCUCCUCCUCUGUGGCUAUCACUGCUAUGGAGGUAUCUCAUAAUGUUUCUUAAACUUGAUUCUACGCUAUUAAACAAAUUGGCUUUCAAGUCUUAACUUUGGAACACUCAACUAAAGUAACUUUCAUGGAGGAGAGAGAGGCCAUUGUCAUUAUCAGCCUCAUCAAAAGCAUCUCACAUGCCCAUCUAUCUUCCAAUACGUACACGCACUUAUACACGCACACACGUAUAUCUCUGUAUUUUCCCCCAAAAAAAAAAGAGCUGAAGAAUUCUAUUUACCCAUGAAUUGAUUAUCCCAUAAAUCACAAUCAACAAUAUAAUCUAUCAUUAAUAUAUACCAAUCAGAAAGCAUAAUAAGGCCAAGGAAUAAUAACAGGAGCAUGUACAAAUGUUUAGAUAGUACAAGAAACAGCUUGACUGCAUUGAUGGGCAUUUUGGUUAAAUAAGAUUAAUGGUGCUGCGUCUUUUCCACAGGGACCCCCAAUUGCCAACGGCUAGAUUUCAUGGAAGAGAUGAGGACAACGUUUACGUGGCACAAAUAGAAUGAGUCGUCUCAGAUUGUCGCUACUUCAUAGAAAAAUCUGCUCUUUUUGUGUAAUUUUUAGUAAUUGCCUCACAUUAUUGCUCGGCGUUUCACCAUCGAGCCACCGACAGUCUUAAAUGUCAUUAUCAAUGUAGCAAAUAAUAAGGAUGAUGUUGUAAAUUGAAUGGGACCAUUUUCUAUGUAGCGAAUAAUUUUUAUUUAAGAUAUCGGAUUUUAGUUUUCAACUUUCUCUAUUUUCUUUCAUUUUCUCUCUAAUUUAUAGCAGACGAUCUAUUUUUUUCCCCUUUUUUGAGAUAAAUAUAAUGUUAAUAAGUUUAUUUUUUAAAAUAAAUUAAUUCUCAUGUACAAUUAUUUUUUCCUAUGGUAUUUUCUUGAAGUGUUCAAAGUAUCUACAAUUUAAGGUAAGAAAUUUUAGAGAAUGUCUCAAAAAUAAUAUAUUACUUAAUUUUUAAUUUUUGGAACUUUACUAUCUAAAGUAUUAGUUGAUACUAUAAAGCCAUAGCAACUUUAAAUAUGUCGGGAAGUACAAGUCAAGCAUUAUUUAAAGACUAAUAAUUGACUUGGUACAUAAUUAAGUCUCCGCUACUGAUCCCACACAAAAGACAAAAAUUCAAAUUUAGUGGUUUGAUGUAAUGGAUAACGGUCAUUUUUUAUUUUAAUGAAAAAGGAAUGAGAACCAAACAGGGGCUAAAUCGAUUGUGUUCUUUAAAACCAUCUUAUCGAAGAAUAAUUCUGAUUAUUAAAUAAUUAUGAGCAAUUUAUUUACCAUACUUAGUUGACACAUAUAUAUUUCUUGUUCAAUAUCAGUCAAGCAUUUAUUCAAAAAUUUCGUGUGGGAUUUAUACUCCAUAACUAGCCAUCCAAUUCUUUAAAAUCAAUCGAAUUUUCUUAUUGUAUAACUGAGGAUUCAAUUUCGUGAUUUGCAAUUUGAUUAGUAUAGUUAAUGUAAUUUAUUGCUAAGUAACAAUUCAAUUCUUGUAAUUAAAGAAACGUAUACUUGACAAGCAACUCGUAUUUUAUUUGAUAAAUAUUGAUGUGGUUGCUCUGAAAAUAUGACAAUUUUUUUGUGGAAAACGUGUACUAAGAUAUUAAGCUAGCCUGAUACUAUUAAGCCUCUCUGUUGAUUCAACUAGAAAAUUAUAUUAUAAUUUAUAUCAAAAUCAACAAUUAAUUUUAAUUAUAUAUUUUAUUAAAUUCACAACUUUUCUACCACAUAUUUUAUCAAUUUUUAUUGAAAUAUACUAAAUUUUUUUUUUUAAUCUAAAUCAAAUAGGAACUAAAUAACAUAAUUGUGCUUGGCACGUGGCAUGUACACAGAUAAAAUCCUAAAAACCGAGUAAUCAGCUAUGCCAAAAUAGAAACCUGAAAAACUAAUGUUGUACUGAUAAAUUUGAGCUGCAGUUGAUAUUUUGUCAUCACACUUGUCUUGUCUAAGGAAUCCUAUGCAUUUUUACUUUUCGUGUGUUUUUUUUUUUUUUUUUAAAAUUUUAUUUUAUCUUGCAUCGAGGAAUAAGACCAACUUACUUUUAACUACAUCAAAUAAAGUCUAAUUAGGUUGAUUUCUCCUCAAGUCUUAUUAACUUCAUUAAGGUGUUUUUUAAGACCUUUAUAGUCUAUACGAACAAUGAGAAUGAUUCCUCCUACCUACAAAAAUCUCGGCUCUUAAUUUAAGUUGAUCUAUAAUUUUAUUAAAAAUUUAAAAUGGACCCACCUGAACAACCGUCAGCCCACCAGCACCACCACGUACAUGGCCAACUACCUCAACUUGAAUUGAAAGAGGAAGCUUGCAUCUUUACUCUGAUAGAACUAAUAUAAUUCGCGUCUUGUUGUUCUUAUAGACUUGUAUAAGUAAAUAAUGUAUUUCAUUCUAUGUCUUAUUCAGGAAGAAAUUCAACACAAGUCUCAACAGUAACUGAGAGUUCUAAACUUGUCAAACUCUUUUGUUGAUGGUUAAUUAGGACUUUAAAUUUUAAAUGGUGAUUUUAACAAGUACUAGUUCUCGUAUAUCUUGUUUCUUUUAGUAUGUUCAAUAUUAUGUCUGGACUCUAUGGACAUUGAGCUAAGCAUUUUGAAUAGUGUCCAGAUUUUUUUAUUUUGUUUAUUAAUUACUCGUGGCAUCUUUGCAAUUGCACAGCUGGAAAAAUAUGUGAUAUUCUAAAAUUUUAUUUUUCCUACGAGAGCAAUAAGAAUUGAUUCACAAUUUUCGGGAGCUAAAUUUGAUGUUUGGAAAGUUUAGAGACUUAAUUGCACUCUCUUGGAGAUUUCAUCAGAUCGAUUAUGAAUGAUUGAGAAAUGUUGUGAACCAAUUUAUAAUGAAUUAAAGCUGAAGGACCAAGAUUUAAAGAAGAAAGUAUGCAAAUUGAACAACAUAUGAGAUCUGGUGAUCAAAUUGUAACAGACAGAUAAUUAAGGGUUGUGAUCGCAAUUAUCUUUUUGCAGAAGCAGCCCCAAAAGUUUUUAUGCUGUGCAAUCUCAGUCCCUAUACUAUUGCUAUCGCACAAUAUGGUCCCGAACAGAUUUCUCUCUCUCUCUCUCUCUCUCUCUCAUUUUGUUUUGUUUUGUUUUUUCUCUUUUCCAAUCAAACACUUUAUGUAAACCAUCUAGACACGAAUUUAACCUAAAUCUUAUCCUCUAAAUAUGGAUAUUCAUCUACAAAUAAAAUGGGGAGGGCUAGAGAGAAAGUUAGAGGCUCAAAUACAUAAAUUAUAUGCAAUUAAAAGAGCCAACUGGAUAUCAAAUCAUUAUUUCCUGUAAAGUUUUAAAGAAACUAUACAUAUUUCUACAAUAUUGCUUGAAAUUAUUGAAGAUUCAAGAAACUUUGAAGGAAAUCAAGACUCAAUGGUCUUUCUAACUUUCUUUCCAAUUCCUAAUUUUCGAGUUAAUUUGUGUGUAAUCAAUUGGUGUUCUUGUAAUAUUAUGAUAUUUGGCUAGUUGUUUAGAUUUUAGGAUAACUUUGAAACUUAUAUAUAGAUAUUGAUUAUAUAAUUUUGGCACUUGAUUUUGAAUGUUUUUAAUGCGAUCAAUUAAUUGGUCAUUAAUUGAACUGUUCAAGUUCAGAAGAAUGAAAGUGGAAGGUAGCACGUUAUAAUUGGGAAUAAUGUAUAACUCCUGCAUGAACCAAUUGAUGUUCUUGUGCUUUUAAUUAACUGCUUCGCAUAUAAGUUAGGAACAGGAAUAUUACACAGUUAUGCUUAGAAAUAUCUUUGAUAGAUUGAACAUGAUAAGAAUAUUGGGCCCUUGUUUGAGCCCCAUUUUUUUCAUAAGAAUGAAUUUUCAAAUAGCAUGUUUGUUAGAACCAAUCAACCAACUGGGAGGAAUCAUCCAUAGUGGCUAGUUGCUCAACCUUUAUAACAACAUUCCCUGUGUAAUGCAGUGUAUUUCCCUGAUUUUACGAGUGAACGAAUAAUUUUGUUGGACACUUGACAUCAUUGUAUAGGUGAUAAUGGAAUAUCCCUUUUUGUAUGCAAUAUUCAUCUGCUGUAAUUGUGUAUAUGAAGAGGUUGCAGAAAGAGAUCAUUUGAGCUAAAAAAUUUAUUGAAAUCAUUACAAUUUUUUUACUUGGUAUCAGAGCCAAAAUGGCUAACAUCGAUUCCAGUGCUCAAGCUUCUUCAACCGAUUUGAGUCAUGCACAAUCCACAGAAGUUGCUGUAUAUCAGUCAUCACCCUUUGAGAUGAAUCUUACUCAAACUACAUCAGUAAACCUUGACAAAAAUGAUUUCAUGUUAUGGCAAAACAAAGUUAUGCCUAUAAUCAAAUGCCAUAAUCUUGAAGGCUACUUGCUGGGAACAAAACAAUGCCACCGGAGUUCACUAGUACUCAAACCACUACUAAAACAGGAGAAGCCAUAAAAGUGACCCAGAAGCCAGAGUACAGCAAAUGGAUGUCAACUGAUCAGCUGCUAAUGGGAUGACUGCAUUCAUCCAUGACCCCUGAAAUUGCAAUGAAGGUCAUGGGAUGUACUAGCUCAAACAGUUUGUGGAAUGCAAUCAAAGAAAGUUAUGGAAUAUUGAAUAGAUCAAGAGUGACAUUCCUUACUUGGGAGCUAGUUCUCUUGGGAGCUGUAGAGAACUAGGAAAAGUUCUAUGACUAUGGAUCAAUACCUUAACACGGUCAAGCAGCUGGCUGACAACCUGCAAAUAGUUGGGAAAACGGUGGAUCAUAGUGACCUUGUAACCCAACGACCUUGUAACCCAACUUCUUGCAGGUCUGGAUGAAGAAUACACACCUAUUAUGGUGCAGAUUAACAACAGGGGUGAUAUUUCNUUUCUAAUCCAGUUUCUGAUUCCAACAUGGAAUAAAUCCCAAGGUAUUUUCCACCUUUCCAAAUUCAGCAUCAAUACCCAAGUAUCAACAAUGUAAUACUUCAGCUCUUUUCCCCUUCUGCAGGUAUGCACUAAAAUCUUAAAGAUUAAAAACAAAUCCCCACCCCCCAGAAAAAAAUAGGAUUUAGAAACAUGAUUUAAAAAAAAAAGGGACGAAUCCCUCUCAAGAUCGAAUCUUUUCAGAAAUGUGUUCCCAAAUUUAAGAAUAUACAUAACUAGAAAAAAAUAAAGUUUAAAUCUUUUUCUUUCAUGUUAUACAUAAUUAGCAAACGAUAAAGUUCAAAUAUUUUUUCCUUCAUGUUAUACAUAACUACCAAAGGAUAAAGUUUAAAUCAUUUUUCUUUGACGUUCUUCUUUCUCAAGCAUUUCCCUCAAACUAAAAAAAAACCCAGAUAUAAAAAGGUAAAAACAACUCAAAAAUCGGGAAGAACAGUACAAGAAACACAGAAUUCGCAUACUACACAUAGAUCAAUCAAAAUACACGCAUAAACAAGAAAAAUAUGAUUUCAAUAACAUACCGACAUGAUAGCGGGUGAGGCAUGGCUCAGAGGAGUGAAAAGACUAGGAAACAGGAAGGGCAGAAGCAACACAAAAGCACCAGCCAUGGCUCCUCCUCUGUGGCUAUCACUGCUAUGGAGGUAUCUCAUAAUGUUUCUUAAACUUGAUUCUACGCUAUUAAACAAAUUGGCUUUCAAGUCUUAACUUUGGAACACUCAACUAAAGUAACUUUCAUGCCGGAGAGAGGGGCCAUUGUCAUUAUCAGCCUCAUCAAAAGCAUCUCACAUGCCCAUCUAUCUUCCAAUACGUCGGUACACGCACUUACACACGCACACACGUAUAUCUGUGUAUUUUCCCAAAAAAAGAAAAAGAAAAAAAGAGCUGAAGAAUUCUAUUUACCCAUGAAUUGAUUAUCCCAUAAAUCACAAUCAACAAUAUAAUUUAUCAUUA
Molecule: long non-coding RNA, 5901 nt
Filed under: Olea europaea (common olive)
Lineage: Eukaryota; Viridiplantae; Streptophyta; Magnoliopsida; Lamiales; Oleaceae
Description: long non-coding RNA (OEUR_LNC007061)
Source: RNAcentral